GACGAACGCUGGCGGCGUGCUUAACACAUGCAAGUCGAACGGAAAGGCUCCAGCUUGCUGGAGUACUCGAGUGGCGAACGGGUGAGUAACACGUGGGUGAUCUGCCCUGCACUUCGGGAUAAGCCUGGGAAACUGGGUCUAAUACCGGAUAGGACCGCACUUUGGUGUGUGUGGUGGAAAGGUUUUUCUGGUGUGGGAUGAGCUCGCGGCCUAUCAGUUUGUUGGUGGGGUAAUGGCCUACCAAGACGGCGACGGGUAGCCGGCCUGAGAGGGUGGACGGUCGCAUUGGGACUGAGAGAAGGCCCAGACGCCUACGGGAGGCAGCAGUGGGGAAUAUUGCACAAUGGGGGAAGCCCUGAUGCAGCGACGCCGCGUGGGGGAUGAAGGCCUUCGGGUUGUAAACUCCUUUCGCUAGGGACGAAGCUUUUUGUGACGGUACCUGGAGAAGAAGCACCGGCUAACUACGUG
This 468-nucleotide ribosomal RNA is filed under the name uncultured bacterium. RNAcentral's name for it is "partial 16S ribosomal RNA". It matches the Rfam family "Bacterial small subunit ribosomal RNA", at positions 28 to 507 of the family's 1533-position model. The record is from RNAcentral.